This 324-nucleotide ribosomal RNA is filed under the name Methylobacterium sp. Its description in RNAcentral is "partial 16S ribosomal RNA". It matches the Rfam family "Bacterial small subunit ribosomal RNA", at positions 945 to 1267 of the family's 1533-position model. Lineage: Bacteria; Pseudomonadati; Pseudomonadota; Alphaproteobacteria; Hyphomicrobiales; Methylobacteriaceae. The record is from RNAcentral.
CCCMGCGURGCUUUUAACGGGRAARCCSUUMCCAUCCUUUGACAUGGCGUGUUACCCAGAGAGAUUUGGGGUCCACUUCGGUGGCGCGCACACAGGUGCKGCAUGGCYGUCGUCAGCUCGUGUCGUGWGAUGKUGGGUUAAGUCCCGCAACGAGCGCAACCCACGUCCUUAGUUSCCAUCAUUCAGUUGGGCACUCUAGGGAGACUGCCSGUGAUAASCCGCGAGGAAGGUGUGGAUGACGUCAAGUCCUCAUGGCCCUUMCGGGAUGGGCUACMCACGUGCUACAAUGGCGGUGACAGUGGGACGCGAAGGAGCGAUCUGGAG